Molecule: ribosomal RNA, 652 nt
Filed under: Hynobius hidamontanus (Ochikura swamp salamander)
Lineage: Eukaryota; Metazoa; Chordata; Amphibia; Caudata; Hynobiidae
Description: partial 12S ribosomal RNA
Rfam family: Bacterial small subunit ribosomal RNA
Source: RNAcentral
ACGGCCUAAAGCGUGAUUAAAUUAUAUUUAAAUAAAUAGAAAUAAAAAUUAACUCAACUGUCGUACGUAUUUGUUAAAUGGUAAAUCAAAAACGAAAGAUAUUCUAAUAAACAAAUUACUUGAAUUCACGAAAGCUAAGAAACAAACUAGGAUUAGAUACCCUACUAUGCUUAGCCUUAAACUUUGGAAUCUGCCCGCCUGAGUACUACGAGCCACAGCUUAAAACUCAAAGGACUUGGCGGUGCUCUACACCCCCCUAGAGGAGCCUGUUCUAUAAUUGAUACCCCCCGCUAAACCUCACCACUUAUUGCCAAUACCGCCUAUAUACCGCCGUCGUCAGCUCACCAUUUAAAUGAAAAAUAGUAGGCAUAAUGAUAAACAUAAAAACGUCAGGUCAAGGUGUAGCGGAUUAAGUGGAAAGAAAUGGGCUACAUUUUCUAAACCAGAAAAUACGAAAAAUUUUAUGAAAAACUAUUUAAAGGUGGAUUUAGCAGUAAAAAGAAAAUAGAGUGUUCUUUUUAAAUUGGCCAUAGAGCGCGCACACACCGCCCGUCACCCUCAUCAGAAUAACAAUUAAUUAUAUAAUAAAAGGAAAAAAAAGAAGAGGAAAGUCGUAACAUGGUAAGUUUACCGGAAGGUGUACUUGGAUUAU